ACUUACCAAACCGAUGCAAACUCCGAAUACCAAUGAGUACUAUCCGGGAGACAGACUGCGGGUGCUAACGUCCGUAGUCAAGAGGAAAACAAUCCAGACCGCCAGCUAAGGCCCCAAAAUUAUAGUUAAGUGGGAAACGAUGUGGGAAGGCAUAGACAGCUAGGAGGUUGGCUUAGAAGCAGCCAUCCUUUAAAGAAAGCGUAAUAGCUCACUGAUCGAGUCGUCCUGCGCGGAAGAUGUAACGGGGCUCAAGCCGGUUACCGAAGCUGCGGAUGCGUGGCAACAUGCAUGGUAGGAGAGCGUUCUGUAGGCCUGUGAAGGUGUCUGGUAACGGAUGCUGGAGGUAUCAGAAGUG
This 355-nucleotide ribosomal RNA is filed under the name Thalassiosira minuscula. Its description in RNAcentral is "partial Bacterial large subunit ribosomal RNA". It matches the Rfam family "Bacterial large subunit ribosomal RNA", at positions 934 to 1290 of the family's 2925-position model. The record is from RNAcentral. Lineage: Eukaryota; Bacillariophyta; Thalassiosirophyceae; Thalassiosirales; Thalassiosiraceae.